GAAAGCCACCCCACUUCAAGUUCUCCUAACACCACGUCUACACCCCAAGCUUUAUGAAUUAUGAAUUCUGAGAGCCUUUGGAAUGUGAUAGGUUUUCAAUCUUUAAAUGCUUUACUUGUUUAAUCAUUACUGGUGUAGCAACUACAAGCUGUUGCAAUAAAGUAAUCUGUAAGUUGUUACAAUAAAUUGAGAUGCUAGUGGAAGUUGGCGAAAGAAAACAUAAAUGACACCUUAAACAAGCAAACAUGUAAAAGCACGCUGCUAAGCAUUUACAAAGUUCAUGCUUCUUCUGCAGCAAAGAGAUUGACGGAGGGUGAAUCAAAUUGGGACUGAGCGGCGUUGGAUUCAACCAAAAAGA
RNAcentral lists this long non-coding RNA (358 nucleotides) under Arachis ipaensis. RNAcentral's name for it is "long non-coding RNA (AIPA_LNC001143)". The record is from RNAcentral. Lineage: Eukaryota; Viridiplantae; Streptophyta; Magnoliopsida; Fabales; Fabaceae.